AUCCAGCUGACGAGUUCCAAAUAGGACGAAACGCGCGUUCUGGAU
This is a non-coding RNA of Schistosoma mattheei, 45 nucleotides long. The record is from Rfam. NCBI's taxonomy places the organism in Eukaryota, Metazoa, Platyhelminthes, Trematoda, Strigeidida, Schistosomatidae.